AUUGAACGCUGGCGGCAGGCCUAACACAUGCAAGUCGAGCGGAGCGGCGGACGGGUGAGUAAUGCCUAGGAAUCUGCAUGGUAGUGGGGGCUAACGUCCGGAACCGGGCGCUAAUACCGCAUACUAUCAGCUUAGCCUUGGUGGGAUUAGAUAGUUGGUGGGGUAAAGGCCUACCAAGGCGAAGAUCCGUAACUGGUUUGAGAGGAUGAUCAGUCACACUGGAACUUAGACACGGUCCAGACUCCUAAGUGAAGGAGCAGUGGGGAAUAUGGGACAAAGGGCGAAAGGCUGAUCCAGCCAUGGCGCGUUGGGUAAGAAGGUCUUCGGAUUGAAAAGGACGGUAAGUUGGGUGGCGUUGCCAACAGAAGAAGCACCGGCUAACUUCGUGCCAGCGGGCGCGGUAAUAC
RNAcentral lists this ribosomal RNA (407 nucleotides) under uncultured bacterium. Its description in RNAcentral is "partial 16S ribosomal RNA". It matches the Rfam family "Bacterial small subunit ribosomal RNA", at positions 30 to 526 of the family's 1533-position model. The record is from RNAcentral.